CAGUGUUACAGCUCUUUUAGAAUUUGUCUAGCAGGCUUUCCAGUAAAGACUGGAAAGCCCUG
This is a small nuclear RNA of Chlorocebus sabaeus (green monkey), 62 nucleotides long. Its record names the gene U7. It matches the Rfam family "U7 small nuclear RNA". Rfam says of the family: Animal histone pre-mRNAs are spliced by a different mechanism than nuclear pre-mRNAs and self-splicing introns. This processing involves the U7 snRNP, which contains only one RNA species: U7. The 5' end of U7 RNA is thought to base-pair to a conserved spacer element downstream of the cleavage site in histone pre-mRNA. The record is from Ensembl. NCBI's taxonomy places the organism in Eukaryota, Metazoa, Chordata, Mammalia, Primates, Cercopithecidae.